This 852-nucleotide ribosomal RNA is filed under the name Diathoneura sp. 1 AY-2012. RNAcentral describes it as "eukaryotic LSU rRNA". It matches the Rfam family "Eukaryotic large subunit ribosomal RNA", at positions 58 to 768 of the family's 3401-position model. The record is from RNAcentral. Lineage: Eukaryota; Metazoa; Arthropoda; Insecta; Diptera; Drosophilidae.
AAAGAAACUAACAAGGAUUUUCUUAGUAGCGGCGAGCGAAAAGAAAACAGUUCAGCGCUUAGUCACUUUGUCUUUAUGGCAAAUGUGAGAUGCAGCGUAUGGAAUAUUAUUCUAAUAUGAGUAUUUAGCUAUUUAAGUCCUUCUUAAAUGAGGCCAUUCACCCAUAGAGGGUGCCAGGCCCGUAAAAAGUUAAAGAUUAUUAGAUAAUGUUUCCGAAGAGUCGUGUUGCUUGAUAGUGCAGCACUAAGUGGGUGGUAAACUCCAUCUAAAACUAAAUAUAACCAUGAGACCGAUAGUAAACAAGUACCGUGAGGGAAAGUUGAAAAGAACUCUGAAUAGAGAGUUAAAUAGUACGUGAAACUGCUUAGAGGUUAAGCCCGAUGAACCUGAAUAUCCAUUAUGGAAAAUUCAUCAUUAAAAUUUGUAAUAAAUUUUAUUAUAAAUGAUAGUGUGCAUUUUUUCCAUAUAAGGACAUUGUAAUCUAUUAACAUGCAUUUAUUUAUCAUAAGGUUAUUAACUUUAGUUUAUUCAUAAUUAGUUUCACGAUUAAUUUGAGUAAAUGUUGAUAAUUUGAUAAAGUGUUGAUAGAUUUAUUCAUAUAUAACGUACAAAUCUUCGGAUUUUAUAAUAAUAUUUAUUAUAUAUAAUGAGUAUUCAUUAUAUACGUUUAUAUGAUUUACAAUGCGAAAGAUUCAGGAUACCUUCGGGACCCGUCUUGAAACACGGACCAAGGAGUCUAACAUAUAUGCAAGUCAUUGGGAAUAUUAUUAAACCCAUUGGCGUAAUAAACAUAACUAAUUUAAUGGGAUUAGUUUUUAUAUAUUUUAUAUGUAUUAAUUCAAUCCCGGGGCG